Drosophila simulans is the source of this 2940-nucleotide long non-coding RNA. RefSeq lists it as uncharacterized. The record is from RefSeq and is a predicted model, not a curated record. NCBI's taxonomy places the organism in Eukaryota, Metazoa, Arthropoda, Insecta, Diptera, Drosophilidae. The transcript is spliced from 2 exons.
CAGAGAGGCCUGUAAUCUGCAAAAGCCAUUAUAAUAACCGUUACUCGUAGAGUAUAAGGGUAUACUAGAUUUGUUGAAAAGUGUAUUACUGGCAGAAGGAAGCGUUUCCGACCAUUGAUCAGGAUCAAUAGCCGAGUCGAUCUAGCCAUGUCCUUCUGUCUCGAUCUCAGGAACAAUAAAAGCUAGAAGGUUGAGAUUCAGCAUGCAGCUUCGAGACACAAUCACGCAGCGCAAGCUUGCCUCCAAAUGUUGCCACGUACACAAACCGGAUAAAACUGCCCCUUCCACAGUUAUGCAAAAUGUUUUAAAAUUUGUUCAUACUUCUAUUAGAAAUUUACAAAAUUUUUAUCAAUUUGACAACAAACUUUUUGCCACGGCCACGCACAAAAACUGCCCAUAACUGCCUCGCCCACAACUAUGCAAAAUGUUUUGAAAUGUUGUCAUUUAUUUGCCAAAAUACUUUUUCCCAAUCUAACCAUGAGAAACCGCAGAAAACUGCCACGCCCACACUAUUGAACAAUUUUUAAUUUUUUUAUAAUUUUAAUCCCCAUUGAUAUUCAAAUAAAAACAUUAAAUUUCGCGCUCGCGCUUGCACUAGCUGAGUUAGGAGUCUAAUAGUUGAGGACUCGACUAUAGCAUUCUCUCUUGUUUUUUAUUUUGCUAUGCUAUUUCAAAAAUGAUUGUUUUAUUUAUACAAUAAAAUUUAUUUCGCUUAAAGUUCCUGAAUGGAGAUACGUUUCGAAAAUUGAAAAAAGUCAAACCUAUUUAGUUGAGCGGCACUGAAUACCCGUCGAGGGUAUACAAGAUUUUUGAAAAGUACGUAAUAAGGUAUAGCGUUUCUGACCUUAAGUAUAUAUUUUUGAUCCAGAUCAUUACCCGAGUGCAGCUAGCCAUGUCUGUCCGUCCGUAUGAACAUGAAGAACUCGGUUACCAUAAGAGAUAGAAAAUUAGGAUGAACAAUAUACAUUCUUAUAAUGCCUACAUUAAAUUUAUUUCAACACAAGCACAAGCUCAAAGAAGCUGGGUUUGGAAAUAUCGAAUUUUUGAAAUUUAAAAGCUGGAAUGUUUGCCCACCAAUUAGUUUUUUUUUGCUCACGUCCAGUUUUUGAGAUAUGAAUUUUUGAAAAAGUUCGAAAAUUUUGGAAGAUCGUAAAUUUCACUUUUUUCAAUUUUUUUUUUUAAAUCGAAAUAACAUUGUUUGCCCACCCUUUAGAAUUUUGAAAAAAUGUAUACUUUAGAAAAUAUAAGACAUUCAAAUUUACCUCGGUCUACUGAGAGAAUAAAGCGUUUGACCAUCUAUUAAAACAAAAUAUUAUCAAUUAACAAUGUUUGCCCAACCAUUAUUAUUAGUUUUAAUCGUUUGCCCACCCUUAAGAAUACCUUUAAAAUUUUUUUUUUGUUAGCCCACACUUUAAAAAUAACAAAUUCCAUUAGCCCACCUCUUAAUACUAAAAAAUUUCGUUUGCCCACCCUUAGAUUAGAUUAGAAAAUUAGAUUUAAACGUUUUCCCGUCCUUUAAAAUUAUUUUUUUUCGUUUGCCCACUCUUAAAAACGAAUAAUCUCGUUUGCCCACUCUUAAAGACGAAUAAUCUCGUUUGUCCAUCCUUUAAAAUAAGUUUUUUUCGGUUGCCCAUCCUUUAAAAUUAGUUUUUAACGUUUAUUUUCAAAGGUUGGGCAUAAGUUUCUUAUAGAACAUUUUUAUUUUAAAUCAUAAUUUUUUUUAAACAAAAAUUUACAAAUCUCGUACUUUUAAAUUAAUGCUCUUAACGGAAUGUUCAGCUGUGCCAUUUCUCGUUUUUCUGCGACAGUAACGUUAUCAUCGAAUAGGGCCAAUGUGAUAUUUUCGUCUUCCAGGUACUAUAAAUAAUUACAUGUCUUUUUGAGCACUUCCAUUAAAAUCCUCUCGUCCACUUCUCUGUAGUUGUACAUAGCCCGAAUAAAUUGAAAGUCUCUAUUAGGAGCUUCAACGGCCAACGGGGAUCCAAACCACAAUUGUAUAUAAAAUUUCACUAUAAAAACAGACACAUCACGCAAAUACUUUUCUUCGUGUUUAGUUAAACGGAAGACUUCUCGAAAAAGCCGCUGCAAAGUUCUGGUAUUGAAUGCGUAUCAACAACCGCAGAAAUCAAAUACAUAAAUGCCUUAUUGGAAAUCUGCCAUUUGACCAACGAUGAAAGAACUCGGCAUGUUACUGCCUCUUUUUUUAGAGGAUAAUUCUAAAUCUGAACUAGUCCACAUCUUCUUUAACAGCAGACAAAACAUCACUGUUGUCACUUUCGAAGAUCUAAUGCAAGAUUAUAACAAGAAAUUAACAACUAAAGAGCUCGAAUAUUAAAAAUUAUGACAAAUCUGCCAUUUGACCAACGAUGAAAAAACUCGGAAUGUUACUGCCUCUUUUUUAAGAGGAUAAUUCUAAAUCUGAACUAGUCCACAUCUUCUUUAACAGCAGACAAAACAUCACUGUUGUCACUUUCGAAGAUCUAAUGCAAGAUUAUAACAAGAAAUUAACAACUAAAGAGCUCGAAUAUUAAAAAUUAUUACAAGUUGUCAAAGAGUAUACAAAGAAGUACCCAUUUAGCAGUAAGAAAUCGCUUAACAAUUAAUUAAUAAUAAAUCAUUAUAUAUUUUAAAUAUAUUUUAUAAUAUAAAACUAAAUAAAGAAUUUUAAGCAAAAAAUACAGCAUUUUAGCCAAAAAAUGCCUAUAUCAAACUUUUGGUUAAGAAAGCAUUAUCCGAUCGGGCUAAAAUUUUACAAAUUUAAGUUUUACACCAAAACGAACAAUUUGUGACCAUGAGACCUUUAAUUUUAGAUUUUUUUCUCCAUACAAAUAAGACGAAACCUACUGCACAAAUAUUAAGUGAGUCAAUGCUUAAAAGUGCUUUGUUAAAAAUAAACCAAUAAAUAAAAUAGUACACCAUAACACAAAAAAUUAAAACACA